RNAcentral lists this ribosomal RNA (496 nucleotides) under uncultured bacterium. RNAcentral's name for it is "bacterial SSU rRNA". It matches the Rfam family "Bacterial small subunit ribosomal RNA", at positions 29 to 521 of the family's 1533-position model. The record is from RNAcentral.
AUUGAACGCUGGCGGCGUGCCUAACACAUGCAAGUCGAGCGGCAGCGCGGGAGCAAUCCUGGCGGCGAGCGGCGGACGGGUGAGUAACGCUUGGGAAUCUGCCUGUUAGUGGGGGACAACCCGGGGAAACUCGGGCUAAUACCGCAUACGCACUACGGUGGAAAGCCGGGGACCGCAAGGCCUGGCGCUAACAGAUGAGCCCAAGUCGGAUUAGCUAGUUGGUAGGGUAACGGCCACCAAGGCGACGAUCCGUAACUGGUCUGAGAGGACGACCAGUCACACCGGAACUGAGACACGGUCCGGACUCCUACGGGAGGCAGCAGUGGGGAAUAUUGGACAAUGGGGAAACCCUGAUCCAGCGACGCCGCGUGGGUGAAGAAGGCCUGCGGGUUGUAAAGCCCUUUCAGUGGGGAAGAAAAGCCUCGACCUAACACGUCGGGGUCUUGACGUAACCCAUAGAAGAAGCACCGGCUAACUCUGUGCCAGCAGCCGCCGU